AAGCUGUCAAGUCCAAGAUUAAGGUGCCAGAAGAUUGACGUCUGGCCCCACCUCUGAGUACCAACACAUUUGGAUUAGGACUUCAAUGUAUGAAUGUGAGGAGGACACAAACAUUCAGAUUGCAGCAGAGACAAAGAUGUGAAAGCAAGCAUGAAAGAGUGCAAACCAGUGGUAUUGGAGCUCAGGGUACAUGAGGUGCUUCAAAAUAUUUUACUACUACUCUGUUGACUACAAAAAAAGAGCUAAAUACUUUUCUGUUGGGACAUCUUCAAGAAAUGUUCACACUUUGCAGAGAGGGGAACAAAGAGAUGAAUUGCCAGAAAUUCUGUCAAACAUGGGACACUCUAUAAAAACAGUAGAUUUCAGAGAAAUUUAAAGAAAUGUGAUUGUGGGGAAAAA
This is a long non-coding RNA of Zalophus californianus (California sea lion), 399 nucleotides long. RefSeq lists it as uncharacterized. Lineage: Eukaryota; Metazoa; Chordata; Mammalia; Carnivora; Otariidae. The transcript has 4 exons. The record is from RefSeq and is a predicted model, not a curated record.